RNAcentral lists this long non-coding RNA (253 nucleotides) under Elaeis guineensis (African oil palm). RNAcentral's name for it is "long non-coding RNA (EGUI_LNC059553)". The record is from RNAcentral. Lineage: Eukaryota; Viridiplantae; Streptophyta; Magnoliopsida; Arecales; Arecaceae.
CUUCUUCUUUGGGGGAGUUCGGUCGGGACUCCAGGCUGUCAAUUUCACCUUGUUCAGGUUCGGCCUCCUCUGGGAUAGUACACUCCACUAUGAAAUCUGCCAAUAUCUGGGCCUUCACUGCUGGCCUGGGUCGAUAGUUGAUGUCGAAUUUUGUGAGCUCGAUCGCCCAUUUUGCCAUCCUCCCGGAGGCAUCUGCCCGGUGUAGAAUCGCCUUGAUCGGUUGGUCGGUGAGCAGCAUUACGGUGUGCCCUUG